ACGCUCGACACCUACAGGAGGCAGCAGUGGGGAAUAUUGCACAAUGGGGGAAACCCUGAUGCAGCGACGCCGCGUGAGCGAAGAAGUAUUUCGGUAUGUAAAGCUCUAUCAGCAGGGAAGAAACUGACGGUACCUGACUAAGAAGCACCGGCUAAAUACGUGCCAGCAGCCGNGGUAAUCUGAGCGGGCUGGCAAGGC
RNAcentral lists this ribosomal RNA (198 nucleotides) under uncultured bacterium. Its description in RNAcentral is "partial 16S ribosomal RNA". It matches the Rfam family "Bacterial small subunit ribosomal RNA", at positions 328 to 539 of the family's 1533-position model. The record is from RNAcentral.